RNAcentral lists this ribosomal RNA (721 nucleotides) under Stutzerimonas stutzeri. RNAcentral's name for it is "bacterial SSU rRNA". It matches the Rfam family "Bacterial small subunit ribosomal RNA", at positions 56 to 767 of the family's 1533-position model. Lineage: Bacteria; Pseudomonadati; Pseudomonadota; Gammaproteobacteria; Pseudomonadales; Pseudomonadaceae. The record is from RNAcentral.
UGCAAGUCGUGCGGGUGUAGUGCGAGAUUGCUCCAUGAUUCAGCGGCGGACGGGUGAGUAAUGUCUAGGAAUCUGCCUGGUAGUGGGGGACAACGUUUCGAUUAGGAACGCUAAUACCGCAUACGUCCUACGGGAGAAAGUGGGGGAUCUUCGGACCUCACGCUAUCAGAUGAGCCUAGGUCGGAUUAGCUAGUUGGUGAGGUAAGGGCUCACCAAGGCGACGAUCCGUAACUGGUCUGAGAGGAUGAUCAGUCACACUGGAACUGAGACACGGUCCAGACUCCUACGGGAGGCAGCAGUGGGGAAUAUUGGACAAUGGGCGAAAGCCUGAUCCAGCCAUGCCGCGUGUGUGAAGAAGGUCUUCGGAUUGUAAAGCACUUUAAGUUGGGAGGAAGGGCAGUAAGUUAAUACCUUGCUGUUUUGACGUUACCGACAGAAUAAGCACCGGCUAACUUCGUGCCAGCAGCCGCGGUAAUACGAAGGGUGCAAGCGUUAAUCGGAAUUACUGGGCGUAAAGCGCGCGUAGGUGGUUCGUUAAGUUGGAUGUGAAAGCCCCGGGCUCAACCUGGGAACUGCAUCCAAAACUGGCGAGCUAGAGUAUGGCAGAGGGUGGUGGAAUUUCCUGUGUAGCGGUGAAAUGCGUAGAUAUAGGAAGGAACACCAGUGGCGAAGGCGACCACCUGGGGCUAAUACUGACACUGAGGGUGCGAAGGCGUGGGGG